Molecule: ribosomal RNA, 1511 nt
Filed under: uncultured bacterium
Lineage: Bacteria
Description: bacterial SSU rRNA
Rfam family: Bacterial small subunit ribosomal RNA
Source: RNAcentral
GGAUUAGGCAUGCAAGUCGAACGAGGGAGUGUUCCGAAAGGGGCACAAACCGAGUGGCGUAAGGGUGAGUAAUGCAUUGAUAACCUACCUUUGAGACGGGGAUAACAACGUUCCGCAAGGGACUCCCGAAAGGGUUGCUAAUACCCGAUAAAACUCAUGGUGCUUCGGUAUCGGGAGUCAAAGGUUUGGGGCUGAAAGGUUCCAUAUGCUCAGAGAGGGGUCAAUGUCCUAUCAGCUAGUUGGCAGGGUAAAGGCCUACCAAGGCGAAGACGGGUAGCCGGCCUGAGAGGGUGGUCGGCCACAUUGGGACUGAGACACUGCCCAGACUCCUACGGGAGGCUGCAGUCGAGAAUCUUUCGCAAUGCCCGGAAGGGUGACGAAGCGACGCCGCGUGUGGGAAGAAGGCCUUCGGGUUGUAAACCACUGUCGGGAGUUAAGAAGUGUAAGGGGGUGAAUAGCCCUCUUACUUGACGUUAGCUCCGGAGGAAGCCACGGCUAACUCUGUGCCAGCAGCCGCGGUAAUACAGAGGUGGCAAGCGUUGUUCGGAAUUAUUGGGCGUAAAGAGCACGUAGGCGGCCCUACAAGUCAGCUGUGAAAUCCUUCUGCUCAACGGAAGAACGGCAGUUGAUACUAUAGGGCUGGAGUGCGGGAGGGGAGAGUGGAACUUCUGGUGGAGCGGUGAAAUGCGUAGAUAUCAGAAGGAACAUCGGCGGCGAAAGCGACUCUCUGGCCCGUAACUGACGCUGAGGUGCGAAAGCUAGGGGAGCAAACGGGAUUAGAUACCCCGGUAGUCCUAGCCGUAAACGAUGGGCACUCGGUAGAGGGGUUUUGAUUAUCUCUCUGCCUGAGCUAACGCGUUAAGUGCCCCGCCUGGGGAGUACGGCCGCAAGGCUAAAACUCAAAAGAAUUGACGGGGGCUCGCACAAGCGGUGGAGCAUGUGGCUUAAUUCGAUGCAACACGAAGAACCUUACCGGGGCUUGACAUGGUAGAAGUAGGAGCCCGAAAGGGUAACGAACGGUAUCCAGUCCGUAGCUAUCACAGGUGUUGCAUGGCUGUCGUCAGCUCGUGUCGUGAGACGUUGGGUUAAGUCCCCUAACGAGCGAAACCCUUGUCUUUAGUUGCCAACAGGUCAAGCUGGGCACUCUAAAGAGACUGCUGUCGUCAAGACGGAGGAAGGUGGGGAUGACGUCAAGUCAUCAUGGCCCUUAUGUCCCGGGCUACACGCGUACUACAAUGGCUGGUACAAUGGGGUGCAAUACCGCAAGGUGGAGCGAAUCCUCAAAACCAGCCCUGGUUCAGAUUGGGGUCUGCAACUCGACCCCAUGAAGGCGGAAUCGCUAGUAAUCGUAGAUCAGCACGCUACGGUGAAUACGUUCCCGGGCCUUGUACACACCGCCCGUCACAUGACCCGAGUCGUCUGCACCCGAAGCCGGUCACCCAACUCGCAAGAGGGGGAGCUGUCCACGGUGUGGAGGGUGAGGGGGAUGAAGUCGUAACAAGGUAACCGUA